UUUGCAUCUAGACUGGUGUCUUCAUGAGGAAUAGCUGAACUGACUUCGGAUAUGGUCUUGAUAUCAUGAAGACUUUUCUUUCUACUAUCAACCAAAAAAAGUCUGGACUGCAAAAUUAAGGCCAGACAUCUAAAAGAUGAAUGUCAUGAUGUAUAUGUAAAGAAGUUAAGAUGGAACAAGGAGGAAAAACAAGUAUUUGGGAGAGAAAACUGUAAGUCCCCUGAUCUUGCCACCUUUUUCACUCAACGGCCUGAAAGGAAACAGAAUUCAGAGUCACUUUUAUUAGAAGAACUCGCAGGAGAAGGGGAUGAGAUGUCCCUACCCCCUACAAUCACACUCUGGAGAGGAAAAUGCUCCCAGCUGCUCCCAGAAAACAGG
Long non-coding RNA from Camarhynchus parvulus, 378 nucleotides. RefSeq lists it as uncharacterized. Lineage: Eukaryota; Metazoa; Chordata; Aves; Passeriformes; Thraupidae. The record is from RefSeq and is a predicted model, not a curated record. The transcript is spliced from 3 exons.